This 25-nucleotide non-coding RNA is filed under the name Cricetulus griseus (Chinese hamster). The record is from RNAcentral. Lineage: Eukaryota; Metazoa; Chordata; Mammalia; Rodentia; Cricetidae.
AAAUGCUUAGAGUGGACUAUUAAGU